This is a non-coding RNA of Pterocles gutturalis (yellow-throated sandgrouse), 546 nucleotides long. The record is from the annotation of a RefSeq genome assembly. Lineage: Eukaryota; Metazoa; Chordata; Aves; Pterocliformes; Pteroclidae.
AUGUGCCAGUGGGGGGACAAUAAGAUCUUUGGUUCGGGCACAAAACUCAUCGUCUUCAACAAAGGAAAUUCUGCCCCAGUAAACGCUGAAAUCCUGCAGAAGAAACAUGAAAAUCAGAUAACGUAUGUUUGCCUUAUUGAGAAAUUCUACCCAGAAGUUAUUCGAGUGACAUGGACGGAUGGAGAAAAAGAGGUAACAGACAACGUAGUAAAGGGAAACAUUUGGAAGCCCACAAAAGAGGAUGAAUACUCGAUCGGCAGCUGGUUAACUGUACCAGCGGAGAACAAAGACAAGAACUACUACUGCAAGUAUGAGCAUGAAAGCAAACAGGAUUCACUGCCAACACAAGAUCCUACAAAGACUCAAGAGGACUGCAGCACGUAUCCUGGAAACAGCACAGUUUUUAUUAGAGACCACUUAAUGCACAGGGCGGCAUAUUUAGUGUACAUCGUCCUUCUUCUGAAGAGCUCCAUGUACUAUCUCAUCGUACUCUUCUUCAUCUACAGAAUGUGGGCUCCAACCAAGCACCAAGGAAAGAAAGCAUAA